Molecule: non-coding RNA, 29 nt
Filed under: Mus musculus (house mouse)
Lineage: Eukaryota; Metazoa; Chordata; Mammalia; Rodentia; Muridae
Source: RNAcentral
UCUUCACCUGAGCAUUCUACUUUGUUGAC